GCUGGGCAUGGUGGCGGGCGCCUGUAGUCCCAGCUACUUGGGAGGCUGAGGCAGGAGAAUCGCUUGAGCCCAGGAGUUGAGGUUGUAGUGAGCCAAGACUGUGCCACUGCACUCCAGCCUGGGUGACAUGGUGAGACUCUGUCUCAA
Molecule: non-coding RNA, 147 nt
Filed under: Nomascus leucogenys (northern white-cheeked gibbon)
Lineage: Eukaryota; Metazoa; Chordata; Mammalia; Primates; Hylobatidae
Source: Rfam by way of RNAcentral